GAACUUAAGCAUAUCAAUAAGCGGAGGAAAAGAAACCAACAGGGAUUGCCCUAGUAACGGCGAGUGAAGCGGCAACAGCUCAAAUUUGAAAUCUGGUCCUCGUGGCCCGAGUUGUAAUUUGCAGAGGAUGCUUUCAGGUUUUGGUGCCUUCUGAGUUCCCUGGAAUGGGACGCCAUAGAGGGUGAGAGCCCCGUAUAGUCGUGCACCAGGCCGUUGUAAAGCACCUUCGAAGAGUCGAGUAGUUUGGGAAUGCUGCUCUAAGCAGGAGGUAAACUUCUUCUAAAGCUAAAUACCGGCCAGAGACCGAUAGCGCACAAGUAGAGUGAUCGAAAGAUGAAAAGCACUUUGAAAAGAGGGUUAAACAGCACGUGAAAUUGUUGAAAGGGAAGCGUUUGUGACCAGAAUCGCGCUCGGCGGAUCAUCCGGCGUUCUCGCCGGUGCACUCUGCCGUGCCCAGGCCAGCGUCGGUUCUUUUCGGGGGGAUAAAAGCUCUGGGAAUGUGGCUCCUCCGGGAGUGUUAUAGCCCUAGGCAGAAUACCCUCGUGGGGACUGAGGUUCGCGCUCUGCAAAGACGCUGGCAUAAUGGUCACCAGCGACCCGUCUUGAAACACGGACCAAGGAGUCAAGCAUUAGGGCGAGUGUUAGGGUGCAAAGCCCUGGCGCGUAAUGAAAGUGAACGCUGGUGAGAGCUUCGGCGCAUCAUCGACCGAUCCUGACCUCCUGUGAUGGAUUUGAGUAAGAGCCUUAACGCUUGGACCCGAAA
Molecule: ribosomal RNA, 763 nt
Filed under: uncultured fungus
Lineage: Eukaryota; Fungi
Description: eukaryotic LSU rRNA
Rfam family: Eukaryotic large subunit ribosomal RNA
Source: RNAcentral